Long non-coding RNA from Populus euphratica (Euphrates poplar), 690 nucleotides. RefSeq lists it as uncharacterized. The record is from RefSeq and is a predicted model, not a curated record. Lineage: Eukaryota; Viridiplantae; Streptophyta; Magnoliopsida; Malpighiales; Salicaceae. The transcript is spliced from 2 exons.
GCCAACAAUGAUGGUUUAGGAGCUCAUGAAUGAACCCAGAUGUGUCUCGGAUCUAUCAGGAAGGACCUUUCAGGCUAACUUAUUCAGGUGAAGCAAGCCAAGAAUCCUUUUUGAACAAUUGGCUUAACGAUCAUAUCCAAGAUGCACAGAACAUCCUUCAGAAGCAAGUUCUGUUCACGGAGUUCGGAAAAUCAUUGCGGACAUCGAAUGAUAACCAAAGGGACCAGCUACUAUUCAAUACUGUCUUGUGUCUACUUAGCUAUUUAUUUAUCAGCUAGCAAUGGAGGUGCUGCAGCAGGCGGCAUGUUCUGGCAACUACUUACUGAAGGAAUGGACUCAUUCCGAGACUGGCAUGAAGUAGUCUUCAGCCAGAACCCUUCAACAGCUAGUAUCAUUGUUGAUCAGUCUCCAAAGUUCAAUCGGAUUCGAUAGAUGGACGUUAGGCUGAGGAACAUGGAGAAGUGGGAGAGAGCAAAUGAUAUUAGAACAGCUGGGAACAACGGCGAUUAACAUGGAAAAAUGAGAAGCCAGGAGACUAGUUUUGAUAAUGUUAGACUAGCAAACUCUUUUAACUAGAAAAAUUAGCGUCAUCGCUGAAGUUUUGAGUAUCGAAAUCUCUAUUAGGGAUGUAUCAGCUCAUCCAAUGGUAUUUCUUUUAGUGAAAGGAAAAGGGAAGCAAUUAAAUUCUAA